GGUCCAGGGAAGGUCAUUUCAUGACAGAAAAGACUUGGAUGUGUUCCCAGCUGCCAAGACAGAGGUCAAGGUGCUGACAGUGGGUGGUAGGUGCACUGAAAACCCUGGAGGCAAGACACAGGGGGAGGCUGACCCUCAGAGAGCUGGGGCAAGGAAGUAUGAAUGAGCCUAUUCCAAUGAUGCAAAGACAGAAAACCAGAGAGACCUAACUCUUGGCAGCCCUACCAUUGUGCUCACUUGAAGGACAGGAAGAUGACUAAACACCAGCAGAUGAAAAGCAACGUUCAUGAAUUACACACUGGGAAACAGAAUGCCUGAACUACCCAUGUAUAACUACUGCUCACAGAUCCCCAGUGGGACUGCAUGUAGAUUCUCUUCCAGAAGUCAAGAAAUUAGCAUCAGACAAGUAAGCCUGUGAAGACCCUUGUUGUUCAAGCUGUCAGAUGACUCUCGCAGAGGGGGAUAGUGGCUGCUACACUCUGUGCUUUGGGUCCUGUCUCUCUCUGCUGGCUCUCCUCUGAAGAGACCAACAUCUGGAGGUGCUGAGUUGAGGGGCUGCAGUCAUGCACAGAAUUUGCACAGUCCCAGUGAGUUGAACAAAGCCCAGGGGACUCACUUCCUCCAGGAUCACCCAAGCAGCCAGACUUUGGGUCUCCUGCAAUGAAGUUUCAAAGAAUACAAACUACGGUUUUAGGGGAGCAAAUUUGUGAAGCAUAUCUUUCAGUGCUGGUGAUUGCCAGUGACAUACAGAAUGGCGGGCAAUCACUUGGUCACACCCAUCUCCCUUCUCUGAGCAAAAGCAAACAGCUCAGAAGGAAGAUGACAGUUUCCCACUUGAACCAGUAAGAUUAAGGGAAAGGGAAAACCACUCCUCUCCUGCAUGGAGUCACCCUGCCAGUUUCCUAAACCUUCUGUCACUUUUCAUCUUGCCUCAACUACUUUUCUUUGUCAUAAAAGUGAAUGUUUUCACAAGCUAAUCCAGCUUCUUCCAUUUUUCAUAGGCUUAAACCUAAAAGGGGCUUCAAAAAGUAACUUCACAGAUUGAUUCCUAAACUCUCUUUCAAGGUCACUGCUUUGACAUUGGAGAUUGGGCGUGAGGGUGCAUCUGGGUUGGGAGGGAUAAGAAUGGAGUCUGUUGGGGUGCCUGGGGGGCUCAGUUGGUUAAGCGUCCGAUUUCAGCUCAGGUCACAAUCUCACGGUUCGUGGGUUCGAGCCCUGCGUCAGGCUCUGUGCUGACAGCUGGGAGCCUGGAGCCUAGUUUGAAUUCUGUGUCUCCCUCUCUCUCUGCCCCUCCCCCACUUGUGCUCUAUCUCUGUCUCUCAAAAAUGAAUAAAUGUAAAAAAAAAUUAAUUAAAAAAACAGAAUGGAGUGUGUUGAUCUUUACUGUGUCAGGUUUUAUUUUGUUUUGUUUGUGCAUCAUCUUGUUACCUCAGCACUAUUUAUACCCCCAAUUCUAUCUACUCUUUGUGUGCUAUGGCAAGCUGGAGGGAACUUAUUUAUACAUUUACUUUUUACAUACUCCAAUAGAUAAUGGUUUUGUUUUCCUUUUCUAGGUUCCAACCAUGAAACACAGAUACACAGACUAUUAACUAUACAGAAUCAAAAAAGUAGAGAGGUUGGAAAUUAUCUGCCUAUCUGCCUUCUUUUUAUGGACAACAGAAGGCUAAGGCGCAGGAGUAAUUCUAGGGGAAGACACCUCCCAAUUCCCCCAUUUAGUGCUCUGUCCACUAACCAUGUCCCUCUAGAAUGAACCAUGCCAGUCCCUACCACUCUCCUCCUCGACACCAACGUGUUCAUGGCAGCUUCGCGGGAACGUAUUCACCACAGUUCCAGAAGAUAAUUUGUGAAAAAUACAAUGUGUUGUUCUUCUAUUUUUUAAUUUACAUUCUGUCUAUAUAUUCAAUCAUAUUCAAUAAAUUAUGUGGAAAAACUUAA
This is a long non-coding RNA of Felis catus (domestic cat), 1935 nucleotides long. RefSeq lists it as uncharacterized. The record is from RefSeq and is a predicted model, not a curated record. NCBI's taxonomy places the organism in Eukaryota, Metazoa, Chordata, Mammalia, Carnivora, Felidae. The transcript is spliced from 3 exons.